ACACAGGAAAUUAACACAUGAAUGUGGCUUUGGCUGAAGAGGUAGAGAAGGAGCCUGAUUUCCAUCCCUCCCUUUAACAGACAUUUCUGGGCCCCUCAGACAUGCCUGCUCUGUCUGGCCCACUCCUUCCAGGGUCCUCAGAGCACCCUGCCCUGUCAGGGGUCCCUGUGCAGGUCCCCACUCCCUGUCUGGCACUACCCAUGAGGAAGGCAGGUGAGCAUAGGAAAGUCAGCCAGGCAGGGGACAGAGGCCCCCAGGAUGGUCAGGGAGCACAUGGACAGAAUCUGAGCAACAACUCAGCCAACAGACAUGGAGAGGUGUGUGAUCUCCCUGAAGCCUUCCUGGAGGACCAUGGAUCCCACAGCCAGCUGAUCUCCCAUGACCCCCAUCCUCUCACCCGGGACAUGCAGGAAACCUCCCCCUUCAGACCUGAGAAUUGCAGCUCCUGAGACACCAGGUACUGGUUGUCUGUCCUGGAAUCAGAGGCCAGGCUGGUGUCACCUCACCAGUCAUCACUCAGCUUGCCCCUUUCUCACCCCUAGUCAUCUCUGUGACCAUCCCGUUGGGAGUAAAUCCAACCUUCCCAGAGCAUCUGAGGACACUGGGAAGACCCUGGUGCCCAGUUCAGUUUCUCUGUCAAAAGAGAUAAUCCUCUGGGUUUGGAAACCUCUGAGCUUCUGUGGGGUGCUGAAAGACACCAAACCCAGGACACAGCCAGGCCAGUGCUGGGGCCAGGUGGGCUGUCCUCUGAGGACACAGGGGUCCCCAUCAGCCUUGCUAUUGAAAGUGCUCCACAGGCCAGUGUGAUCAGCAUCACCUGAGAGCUUGUUAGAUGCAGACUCGGGUCUACUCCACACCUGCUGGGUCAGAAUCUGCAUUUUAACAGAAUCUCCUGACUCUGAACAGAAGAAUGGGAGAGGCUGUCCCACCCCCACAAAAUGGGGUCUCAGCCUUCCUGGGUAGCCAUAAACCUGGGCAGCUGCUAAAGUAGCAUUUCUUUUGUCACCUAGGCAUUCACAGUCCUUACAAAUUUCCACAGGUGAUUCUGACACAGAGCAAGGGUGACAUCCUUGUGACAGGAGUUCCUGAUGUAGCCCAAGAACUCCUGCUCUGAAGGGAUAAGUCAAACGUGAGAGAAAGGGCUGCAGUGGAGACUGACUAUGCACCCUGAGCCAGAGUUGUGGGGACUGCCCAGGAGACCAAUCCCCAGGUUUCUGUUUGUCCAAACAAGGGUGUGUGUGUGUGUGCGUGUGUGUGUAUUUAUGGGAUGAAUCACAACUAAACAAGGAGAGGCCUCCACAGUUGCCAGGAAACCAAAAUGUAGAAGGAGGAGACUAGGGAGGCUGGAAUGAAAGGAGGAGAGGGAGGGACCCGAGCAGAGACAACACCCCCAGUGCAUAUGACCCGUUAGGCAUCCCUGCCCCUGGAGGAGGCUCAGCACAGAGGGAGGAACGACAGCAGAGCUGAAGCAUCUGGACAGAAGUGUUUGUGAGAGUUUCUGGAGCCCAAGCUCUUCUCACAAAGGGAGGGACAGAGCAGGCAGCAGAUACCAUGGAGCACCCAUCAGCCCCUGCCCACAGAGGGCACAUCCCCCGGCAGGGGCUUCUGCUGGCAGUCUCACUAUUAACCUUCUGGAACCCACCCACCACUGCCCAACUCACUAUUGAAUCGGUGCCGACAGAUGCUCUUGAAGGAACGGAUGUUCUUCUACUUGUCCACAAUCUGCCUGAGAAUCUUUUAGGCUAUGUCUGGCUGAAAGGGGAAGGAAUAGAUCCCGAUCAACAAAUUGUAAUAUAUGUGAUAGAAACACAAGAAAAUACCCCAUGGCUUCUAUAUAGUGGUCGAGAGACAACAUACCACAAUGGAUCUCUGCUGUUCCAGAACGUCACCCGGAGUGACACAGGAUACUACACCCUACAAGCCAUAGACCAAGAUUUUAACAAUGCAGUGGGAACUGUACAGCUCCGCGUAUACCCGGAGUUAACCAAACCCAACAUCACAUGCAACAACUCCAACCCCGUGGAGCACAAGGACCCUGUAGUGUUAACAUGUGAACCUGAGACUCAGAACACCACCUACCUGUGGUCGAUCAACAAUCAGAGCCUCCCGGACAGCGCCUGGCUGGAGCUAUCCUCGGACAACAGGACUCUCACUUUACUCCGUGUCACAAUGAAUGACACAGGACCCUAUGAGUGUGAAACCCGGAACCCAGUGAGUGCUCGUCGCAGUGACCCAUUCUACCUCAAUGUUCUCUAUGAUCCAACACAAAGAAAUUCUGCUGGCCUCUCAGGUGGGGUCAUUGGUGGCAUCAUGGUUGGAGUCCCAGCUGUGGUAGCUCUGAUAGCGGUCCUGGUGUACUGCCUGUGUAUGAGAAAGACUCGAGAGUAUUAUGGCCCUUUUUAGUGUUUUGCUUUCUCAAAGGUCAGGGCCACUCCGACAACUCCUCUAACAAGAUGGAUGUAGUUCUUCCCUGAACUUCAAUGUCCGGGGAUCAAAGAAACCAACUUCAGCCUCCCCACCCCCACCAGCCACAGAAACAGUUUAUUCAGAAGCAAAACAGAAGUACUGCAACCUGCCCUGUUCGCUGCACUGCUGGCUUACUCCAAGCUUCUCAUCCUCAUCACUGGAAGGAUCCCUUUACCCUCAAGGAAAAGAGAAAGAAGCCUCUUCCCCCCCUCAACUUCCAAAUGAGUCACCUCCAGGCUGCCCAGUCACAGCCCCUCCCUUCAGUGACAAUACAUGAAAAGGUACAGCCAGGAGUCUGUAGGAAACCCAACCUUCCUAGUCUUUGAAAUUUGGCAAAGCAGACCUUAGGAAAGAGUUGCCAGAACCUCCCACCCCUCCCCCUCUCCUGACCUAGACUUGUUUUAAACCUGCCCAUUCAGAGCACACUCACCUUCCUACCUUAGUCCUGUCUUAUCCGAGUCUAACUUGAAUUUGCCAUAACCUUGAGAGAUAUGUCCUUGUCUGCUGAAAUGCACGUGCCUGAAAAGAACAGAGGAAAAGGAAAAGGAAAAGCUUCUUCUAUCCCUCUAAAGCCCAGGUUGAACCCACCAGACACAGGAAAGCAAAUAUAUAACCAGUUCUGAACUGGGAAAUUCUACACCUUUGUCCACUGCAAGGGUGUCUACGUGUAGGGCCAGGGCCUAAGCACCUUGCUGAUUGGCUGGAAUACCACCUGACCCUUUGGCAAGCCUGUCUUCAGAGAACUCACUAGAAGCAACUAGGAAAACUAUUUGCCAAGGUCCAUAGGCAAGUCUUAAUGGAAAAUGCAAAAAAAAAGGGACACACGUUUUAAUCACUUUAAGAGCUUUAUUCAAGUAAACGCCCACAGAAGGAGGGGUUACAACUUUAGGGAGGAGGCAAGUGUUACCAGAGACAAUCUGCUGAGAAUUUGGGAAAGAAAUCACAGAGCUACCCUUCAAAUAUUAUUUAAGUGAUUGUUAAAGAAUGCACAAUUUGAGGUAGUGGGUUUUUCCCUGUUCUCUGAGACAAUCUGCCAUUUUAAUUUUUGUAACUGCUUAUUUAUGUGAGGGGGUUAUUUUUACUUAGCUUAGCUGUGUAAGCCAACCUGACUGCCUUAGGUUAAAGAAGCCACCAAAACCCCUCAAGUCCCCUUGACCAGGAGCUCCUCAAGGCUUUUAUGUUAGGGGCUCCAAACAGAAAAGAAGAAGCUGUUUUCUUCAUUCAUGGCUAGAAAUGGAUCUAACUCAGUUUCCAGGCAUCUCAGGCCAACCACCAGCCUCCAUUGUACCCCAUGUGUCUGCCUGUGCAUGUCCUGUCUGUCUGCCCCACUCCUUUUCUCAGGAAACCUCGACCCCUGCCAAGGUGCAUUUGGUCCUUGAGAAGUGGGAGCACCUUGAAGGGGACAUUAUCACUCACGCCACUGGUAUUGUUUAUAACCUAGAAAGCUGAACUGGUGCUGAUGCCCUUAGGACAGAAGGGGAAUAUUAUAACAGGAUCUUAGGCAUCUUGAACAGCCUCUGAAAUUUCUUUCAUCUCAUGAGGUCUAUGAGUCCCAAUGUGUCUUAGGAUAAAAGGAAGGCAAGAGAAGGAGGGGCAAGUGCACUUCCCACCCAGCCUCCUUCUACACAGAUGGAAUCUCUUUGGGGCUGUUGAGAGGAAGGUUUUAUUCAAUACUAAUUACUUGAUGUCAUGCUGUGUCUAAGAGACCCCUCAAAGUUAGGAGUUCUCUGUGCUCAGGUACCUCUUUCAGGGUUUUAUAUCCCUGACACACACUGUAUAGACUUCCCCUCAUCCACGUUAUUCUGUGUUAUUUAAUUUUGUUUAGCUAAGGCCACUUUGGAAUUAUUUGUAAAUGUGCUCUAUAUUUAUAAUAAAAAUUAUUUAUCAGACAUCAA
Molecule: non-coding RNA, 4361 nt
Organism: Equus caballus (horse)
Lineage: Eukaryota; Metazoa; Chordata; Mammalia; Perissodactyla; Equidae
Source: RefSeq, a predicted model, not a curated record